AGUCGUGUGGCCGAGUGGUUAUGGCGGCAGUUUUAAGCACUGCUCCGAAAGGAUCGCGGGUUCAAUCCCCGUCGCGACUA
RNAcentral lists this transfer RNA (80 nucleotides) under Coemansia sp. BCRC 34301. Its description in RNAcentral is "tRNA-Leu". It matches the Rfam family "tRNA". Rfam says of the family: Transfer RNA (tRNA) molecules are approximately 80 nucleotides in length. Their secondary structure includes four short double-helical elements and three loops (D, anti-codon, and T loops). Further hydrogen bonds mediate the characteristic L-shaped molecular structure. tRNAs have two regions of fundamental functional importance: the anti-codon, which is responsible for specific mRNA codon recognition, and the 3' end, to which the tRNAs corresponding amino acid is attached (by aminoacyl-tRNA synthetases). tRNAs cope with the degeneracy of the genetic code in two manners: having more than one tRNA (with a specific anti-codon) for a particular amino acid; and 'wobble' base-pairing, i.e. permitting non-standard base-pairing at the 3rd anti-codon position. The record is from RNAcentral. Lineage: Eukaryota; Fungi; Kickxellomycota; Kickxellomycetes; Kickxellales; Kickxellaceae.